GGGUUGUGAGGUUAAGCGACUAAGCGUACACGGUGGAUGCCCUGGCAGUCAGAGGCGAUGAAGGACGUGCUAAUCUGCGAAAAGCGUCGGUAAGGUGAUAUGAACCGUUAUAGCCGGCGAUGUCCGAAUGGGGAAACCCAGUGCAAUUCGUUGCACUAUCGUUAACUGAAUACAUAGGUUAACGAGGCGAACCGGGGGAACUGAAACAUCUAAGUACCCCGAGGAAAAGAAAUCAACCGAGAUUCCCCCAGUAGCGGCGAGCGAACGGGGAGCAGCCCAG
This 280-nucleotide ribosomal RNA is filed under the name Klebsiella pneumoniae. RNAcentral's name for it is "partial 23S ribosomal RNA". It matches the Rfam family "Bacterial large subunit ribosomal RNA", at positions 1 to 272 of the family's 2925-position model. The record is from RNAcentral. Lineage: Bacteria; Pseudomonadati; Pseudomonadota; Gammaproteobacteria; Enterobacterales; Enterobacteriaceae. RNAcentral also lists the same sequence under 2 other names.